Molecule: ribosomal RNA, 951 nt
Filed under: Triticum aestivum (bread wheat)
Lineage: Eukaryota; Viridiplantae; Streptophyta; Magnoliopsida; Poales; Poaceae
Description: partial small subunit ribosomal RNA
Source: RNAcentral
AUGAUUCCCAAGACAUGGCAAGGAAUGCUAGGAACUCUUCUGUCAAGAAAGCGGAAAAGCUUUUUCACGACCGAUGCCCGAUCCCAAUCUCUCUUCCCCCAAAAUCCUAAUCUUUCUCCCCCUGAUUUUAAGGUGGGCCGAGGCAGAGCACUCGUCGGGCGGCGGAGCUCCGGCAGCAUAGCGGCAGGGUCGGGUGAACGCGCAGGAUUGGAAGCCACUUCGUGCCGGGGCCAUGAGCUCGUGGCUAGGGGCGAGCUGCCGGACAGUUGCGACGGCCAGGGAGGAGGGAGGCCGCCUUGUGGUGGCGAGCCACCACCUCGGAGGAGGCAGGCUACGGGGCUGGGAGGGGGGCUGAUUGCAAAAGCUCUCCCAAGGGCCGAGAUCUACCUCGGAGGAGCCAAACGGACGGCUCGAGUUUCGUGUAAGCGCACCACCUGUCCACGCCAGCCCGACCCGAUGGAAGCCGCCGCCGGCGCCGGCUUCGUCUUGCCCACAACCCGAUGCGAACGUUCAGGCCACCACUUCGUCUCGCCGACUUCGUCUCGCGGCCGCGGAAGCAGGACGCGGAGAAGAAGCGACGGCGGGCGGCUCGCUUGCUUCAACAUUCAUCUUUGCUUCAACGCAUGCACACACAACAUUAGUCUUCAAUUCAUGUUGGCAUCCGCACCGCACCAAAAACCACCAAGGACGCUUGAACAAGGCAAUCGAUUUGGGAUCGAUUCACGGCGACCUUGCAGACUGGGUGGAUCGAUGGCCGGCAAGCCGACACCUCCCGAUUACGGCUGCCCCGACGACGGCGGCGAGCGGCCGCCCUUUGUCCUCAUCGAUCCAAAGGCCUACUUCGCCGACCGCAAGAACGCCACCACCGCCUUCUGCGAUAUGAAGGCCCCCAAGCUCAAGGGCCAACUCCAGGUCACCUUCUGCGCCGUCGCCCCGCCGCUCGUCUCCUAG